This 3009-nucleotide ribosomal RNA is filed under the name Salmonella enterica subsp. enterica. Its description in RNAcentral is "bacterial LSU rRNA". It matches the Rfam family "Bacterial large subunit ribosomal RNA". Lineage: Bacteria; Pseudomonadati; Pseudomonadota; Gammaproteobacteria; Enterobacterales; Enterobacteriaceae. The record is from RNAcentral.
UUAAGCGACUAAGCGUACACGGUGGAUGCCCUGGCAGUCAGAGGCGAUGAAGGGCGUGCUAAUCUGCGAUAAGCGCCGGUAAGGUGAUAUGAACCGUUAUAACCGGCGAUACCCGAAUGGGGAAACCCAGUGUGACUCGUCACACUAUCAUUAACUGAAUCCAUAGGUUAAUGAGGCGAACCGGGGGAACUGAAACAUCUAAGUACCCCGAGGAAAAGAAAUCAACCGAGAUUCCCCCAGUAGCGGCGAGCGAACGGGGAGGAGCCCAGAGCCUGAAUCAGCAUGUGUGUUAGUGGAAGCGUCUGGAAAGGCGCGCGAUACAGGGUGACAGCCCCGUACACAAAAGCGCAUGUGCUGUGAGCUCGAUGAGUAGGGCGGGACACGUGGUAUCCUGUCUGAAUAUGGGGGGGACCAUCCUCCAAGGCUAAAUACUCCUGACUGACCGAUAGUGAACCAGUACCGUGAGGGAAAGGCGAAAAGAACCCCGGCGAGGGGAGUGAAAAAGAACCUGAAACCGUGUACGUACAAGCAGUGGGAGCCCCACCACCAAAGCAUUCUCUGGUGUUGAAGGCCCUGCAAAGCAGCAUCGCGGUGGCGGAGCGUCGUUUGCGACGCCCAACACACAAAACAAGCGGUGAAUGCUUUGGGGGUGGGGUGACUGCGUACCUUUUGUAUAAUGGGUCAGCGACUUAUAUUCUGUAGCAAGGUUAACCGAAUAGGGGAGCCGGAGGGAAACCGAGUCUUAAUUGGGCGUUAAGUUGCAGGGUAUAGACCCGAAACCCGGUGAUCUAGCCAUGGGCAGGUUGAAGGGUUGGGUAACACUAACUGGAGGACCGAACCGACUAAUGUUGAAAAAUUAGCGGAUGACCUGUGGCUGGGGGUGAAAGGCCAAUCAAACCGGGAGAUAGCUGGUUCUCCCCGAAAGCUAUUUAGGUAGCGCCUCGUGAAUUCAUCUCCGGGGGUAGAGCACUGUUUCGGCUAGGGGGCCAUCCCGGCUUACCAACCCGAUGCAAACUGCGAAUACCGGAGAAUGUUAUCACGGGAGACACACGGCGGGUGCUAACGUCCGUCGUGAAGAGGGAAACAACCCAGACCGCCAGCUAAGGUCCCAAAGUCAUGGUUAAGUGGGAAACGAUGUGGGAAGGCCCAGACAGCCAGGAUGUUGGCUUAGAAGCAGCCAUCAUUUAAAGAAAGCGUAAUAGCUCACUGGUCGAGUCGGCCUGCGCGGAAGAUGUAACGGGGCUAAACCAUGCACCGAAGCUGCGGCAGCGACGCUGAUGCGUUGUUGGGUAGGGGAGCGUUCUGUAAGCCUGCGAAGGUGACCUGUGAGGGUUGCUGGAGGUAUCAGAAGUGCGAAUGCUGACAUAAGUAACGAUAAAGCGGGUGAAAAGCCCGCUCGCCGGAAGACCAAGGGUUCCUGUCCAACGUUAAUCGGGGCAGGGUGAGUCGACCCCUAAGGCGAGGCCGAAAGGCGUAGUCGAUGGGAAACGGGUUAAUAUUCCCGUACUUGGUGUUACUGCGAAGGGGGGGACGGAGAAGGCUAUGUUGGCCGGGCGACGGUUGUCCCGGUUUAAGCGUGUAGGUGUGUGUUCCAGGUAAAUCCGGUUCACUUUAACACUGAGGCGUGAUGACGAGGCACUACGGUGCUGAAGCAACAAAUGCCCUGCUUCCAGGAAAAGCCUCUAAGCAUCAGGUAACAUCAAAUCGUACCCCAAACCGACACAGGUGGUCAGGUAGAGAAUACCAAGGCGCUUGAGAGAACUCGGGUGAAGGAACUAGGCAAAAUGGUGCCGUAACUUCGGGAGAAGGCACGCUGACACGUAGGUGAAGUGAUUUACUCACGGAGCUGAAGUCAGUCGAAGAUACCAGCUGGCUGCAACUGUUUAUUAAAAACACAGCACUGUGCAAACACGAAAGUGGACGUAUACGGUGUGACGCCUGCCCGGUGCCGGAAGGUUAAUUGAUGGGGUCAGCGCAAGCGAAGCUCCUGAUCGAAGCCCGGUAAACGGCGGCCGUAACUAUAACGGUCCUAAGGUAGCGAAAUUCCUUGUCGGGUAAGUUCCGACCUGCACGAAUGGCGUAAUGAUGGCCAGGCUGUCUCCACCCGAGACUCAGUGAAAUUGAACUCGCUGUGAAGAUGCAGUGUACCCGCGGCAAGACGGAAAGACCCCGUGAACCUUUACUAUAGCUUGACACUGAACAUUGAGCCUUGAUGUGUAGGAUAGGUGGGAGGCUUUGAAGUGUGGACGCCAGUCUGCAUGGAGCCGACCUUGAAAUACCACCCUUUAAUGUUUGAUGUUCUAACGUGGACCCGUAAUCCGGGUUGCGGACAGUGUCUGGUGGGUAGUUUGACUGGGGCGGUCUCCUCCUAAAGAGUAACGGAGGAGCACGAAGGUUGGCUAAUCCUGGUCGGACAUCAGGAGGUUAGUGCAAUGGCAUAAGCCAGCUUGACUGCGAGCGUGACGGCGCGAGCAGGUGCGAAAGCAGGUCAUAGUGAUCCGGUGGUUCUGAAUGGAAGGGCCAUCGCUCAACGGAUAAAAGGUACUCCGGGGAUAACAGGCUGAUACCGCCCAAGAGUUCAUAUCGACGGCGGUGUUUGGCACCUCGAUGUCGGCUCAUCACAUCCUGGGGCUGAAGUAGGUCCCAAGGGUAUGGCUGUUCGCCAUUUAAAGUGGUACGCGAGCUGGGUUUAGAACGUCGUGAGACAGUUCGGUCCCUAUCUGCCGUGGGCGCUGGAGAACUGAGGGGGGCUGCUCCUAGUACGAGAGGACCGGAGUGGACGCAUCACUGGUGUUCGGGUUGUCAUGCCAAUGGCACUGCCCGGUAGCUAAAUGCGGAAGAGAUAAGUGCUGAAAGCAUCUAAGCACGAAACUUGCCCCGAGAUGAGUUCUCCCUGAGACUUUAGGUCUCCUGAAGGAACGUUGAAGACGACGACGUUGAUAGGCCGGGUGUGUAAGCGCAGCGAUGCGUUGAGCUAACCGGUACUAAUGAACCGUGAGGCUUAACCUU